RNAcentral lists this ribosomal RNA (377 nucleotides) under uncultured Clostridium sp. RNAcentral describes it as "bacterial SSU rRNA". It matches the Rfam family "Bacterial small subunit ribosomal RNA", at positions 1005 to 1382 of the family's 1533-position model. The record is from RNAcentral. Lineage: Bacteria; Bacillati; Bacillota; Clostridia; Eubacteriales; Clostridiaceae.
AGGACAGAGUCGGAGGUAUCCGGGGAGACAGGUGGUGCAUGGUUGUCGUCAGGCUCGUGUCGUGAGAUGUUGGGUUAAGUCCCGCAACGAGCGCAACCCUUAUCGUUAGUUGCUACCAUUAGGUUGAGCACUCUAGCGAGACUGCCCGGGUUAACCGGGAGGAAGGUGGGGAUGACGUCAAAUCAUCAUGCCCCUUAUGUCUAGGGCUACACACGUGCUACAAUGGUGAGGACAAAGAGACGCAAGACCGCGAGGUGGAGCAAAUCUCACAAACCUCAUCCCGGUUCGGAUUGCAGGCUGAAACUCGCCUGCAUGAAGCCGGAGUUGCUAGUAAUCGCGAAUCAGCAUGUCCGCGGUCGAAUACGUUCCCGGGCCUU